This 546-nucleotide unclassified non-coding RNA is filed under the name Hevea brasiliensis (rubber tree). The record is from RNAcentral. Lineage: Eukaryota; Viridiplantae; Streptophyta; Magnoliopsida; Malpighiales; Euphorbiaceae.
GAAAAUUCAACAGAGAGACGAUUCAAUUUGCAGAGAUGAACGGCGCUAUGAAUAUGCACGGAGAUAUGGCGCCGCCGGUACCACAUGCCGCCGUGAACAACCACAACAUGAUGAUGCACAUGACGUUUUUCUGGGGAAAAAACGCUGAAAUUCUCUUCUCCGGUUGGCCGGGAUACGACAACAUCGGUAUGUACGUUUUCGCACUUAUCGUCGUUUUUCUACUUGCUUUCUCUGUCGAGUUGCUAUCGCACUCAAAUUACAUCAAAGAGAGUGCAAAUCAUGUGACGGCCGGGUUGAUUCAAACGGCGUUGUACGGAGUUAGAAUUGGUUUGGCUUAUCUGGUUAUGCUUUCUGUUAUGUCCUUCAAUGGCGGAAUUUUUCUGGCGGCGAUUUCCGGUCAUACGUUAGGGUUUUUGGUUUUCGGGAGUAGAGUUUUUAAGAAAUCGCCGUUGACGGCUUAUGCUAAAGCCUCCGAUCUUCCUUCUAUGCCUUGUAAUUGUUAAUGAAAAUUGAAAGCUUUAAAAUCGAAUUGUAAUCGAUAAUUCA